This 63-nucleotide transfer RNA is filed under the name Phyllobrotica quadrimaculata. Its description in RNAcentral is "tRNA-Ile". Lineage: Eukaryota; Metazoa; Arthropoda; Insecta; Coleoptera; Chrysomelidae. The record is from RNAcentral.
UAUGAAGCGCCUGAAGAAAGGAUAAUUUUGAUGGGGUUAAAUAUGUGUUCAACACCUUCAUAA